AUUGAACGCUGGCGGCAGGCCUCUUCAUGCAAGUCGAGCGGAUGAAGGGAGCUUGCUCCUGGAUUCAGCGGCGGACGGGUGAGUAAUGCCUAGGAAUCUGCCUGGUAGUGGGGGAUAACGUCCGGAAACGGGCGCUAAUACCGCAUACGUCCUGAGGGAGAAAGUGGGGGAUCUUCGGACCUCACGCUAUCAGAUGAGCCUAGGUCGGAUUAGCUAGUUGGUGGGGUAAAGGCCUACCAAGGCGACGAUCCGUAACUGGUCUGAGAGGAUGAUCAGUCACACUGGAACUGAGACACGGUCCAGACUCCUACGGGAGGCAGCAGUGGGGAAUAUUGGACAAUGGGCGAAAGCCUGAUCCAGCCAUGCCGCGUGUGUGAAGAAGGUCUUCGGAUUGUAAAGCACUUUAAGUUGGGAGGAAGGGCAGUAAGUUAAUACCUUGCUGUUUUGACGUUACCAACAGAAUAAGCACCGGCUAACUUCGUGCCAGCAGCCGCGGUAAUACGAAGGGUGCAAGCGUUAAUCGGAAUUACUGGGCGUAAAGCGCGCGUAGGUGGUUCAGCAAGUUGGAUGUGAAAUCCCCGGGCUCAACCUGGGAACUGCAUCCAAAACUACUGAGCUAGAGUACGGUAGAGGGUGGUGGAAUUUCCUGUGUAGCGGUGAAAUGCGUAGAUAUAGGAAGGAACACCAGUGGCGAAGGCGACCACCUGGACUGAUACUGACACUGAGGUGCGAAAGCGUGGGGAGCAAACAGGAUUAGAUACCCUGGUAGUCCACGCCGUAAACGAUGUCGACUAGCCGUUGGGAUCCUUGAGAUCUUAGUGGCGCAGCUAACGCGAUAAGUCGACCGCCUGGGGAGUACGGCCGCAAGGUAA
This 872-nucleotide ribosomal RNA is filed under the name uncultured Pseudomonadales bacterium. Its description in RNAcentral is "bacterial SSU rRNA". It matches the Rfam family "Bacterial small subunit ribosomal RNA", at positions 28 to 896 of the family's 1533-position model. Lineage: Bacteria; Pseudomonadati; Pseudomonadota; Gammaproteobacteria; Pseudomonadales. The record is from RNAcentral.